GGAAGCACGAAUAAGGACCAGGAUUGGGUUUUUGAAGGUGGAUUUGUAAGUAAUUAUUUUUAUAGAAUUAAUAAGUGAAGGGUGGAAUAACAUGUGUACAUAUUGCCCGUCGCUCUCGCUAUUUUUGAGAUAAGUCGUAACAUAGUUGAUGAACUGGAAAGUGUAUCUUUUUGA
Molecule: ribosomal RNA, 174 nt
Filed under: Brachoria conta
Lineage: Eukaryota; Metazoa; Arthropoda; Diplopoda; Polydesmida; Xystodesmidae
Description: partial small subunit ribosomal RNA gene
Source: RNAcentral